UGAAGUCCGUAUAUACAUUAAUGACGAUUUGAGACAAAUAAGUGUAAAUUUAAAACUAUGUAUAUGGCGCUAUACGCUGCAGACAGACGCGAAAUGGCACCGCCGGUACACACACAUACCCUGUGUCUCCAAAGGUCGUGAAUCAGUAUAUAGUGUACACAAGUUCGGGCACUGGUAAGGACUUUAGCUCACUUGACAUUGGGACACUGUUCACUUUAUCCUGUGAUGUGGCUGCUUAAAGGUGUUGUGAUCACUCACAGCUGUUACGCAUCAACAACCGGCAAAACCAACAGCUCUCUGACUAAAUUUUUAAACAAUACAUUGUGAAAAACGCUGUCAUUAUCCUCUUAUAUAUCCGUGCAUAAAAUUCGAGGAAUAUAAUUACAUUUUAAAUAUAUAUAUUUUUAACAAUUUUAAAUAAAUAUUAUUAUUUAUAUCAUGCGAUUUUCGGUUGGAGAUAUUCGAAAAGGUCACGUGAUUUGUGGUAAGGGAACAUGGGGAGUUGGGGACCAUCAAUGCUCACUGGGUUUUGCGUUGCAUUGAGUUAAGUUAUGUUUACCAGCUGCGCCAUGCUUAUAUUAUACAUUGUUCUACUGGCUGAAGUAGUGAGAUUUAAAGAAGCUGGUCAAGUCUUCAAAUUGUUGCUAACCUCUAUAUUGCUAUGUUUUCUCCAGGUCUUUUUAAAUGGACAGCUUUGUUGCUGAUAAGCUAACUGAGUGGUGGCUGUUUAAGCUGACAGAGACAUUUUUGAGGCCGUCUACAGUGUUGGGAAGAAGACAAUCCGGCACUCCACUGAAGAGUCCUGGACAGCGUUCAUACACCAAAUGUCUGUUGGAACAAAUAUGGUGGAAUACAGUGGCGGCUCGUGACUGCUCAUCCGAGGAUGCGCUAAUUCAAAAUGAGUGUUCAGAUUGUCACGUGUGUGGUUUCCUUUUCCAAAAUAUGUGUCCUGCGUGUUGAGAGAUCCUGUGUUCAUCACAUGUUUUAUCACAAUACGUGCCUGCUGCACACGCGUCAAAACUGUUUAUGAUAAAAGAGACACUCAUGUUCACAAAAUACACACUAGACACUUUCUUAACAGUAAACUCUGAUUACGCAUGAGAUUAUGGCAGUAUUUGGCAAACGCAAUCAUCUCUUUUAUCAUAAACCCUUUAGACGCGUCUGCAGCAGGCACUUAUUUUGGCAUGACACGUGAUGCACACAUGAUCUCUCAAAGCGCAGAACACAUAUUUGGAAAUAACAAACCACACACAUGACGGGCUACAUACAUGUUGUGACGAACUUCGCAUCGAGCGCCCUCAAAAAAUAAGUCACCGGCCCCCACUGAUGAAAUACCUUCAGCAAUCGAAGCCAUUUCCCUCUGGGAGAUCUUAAGCUGCAGUAAAAGACACAACCAAUGUUUGAAGACUUAAAGCCUCAAGUUCAAUUCAGUUAUUGAAUGUUGUCAAAUGUUUGAGAGAGAAUGUUUGAGAGUUGUUUAUUUUUCUAUUUUUCCUUUCUAAUGUUAUUACAGUGUGACCUAAAAUAAAUAGGUCAAAGUGUGUGUUUUUUAUAUAGAAUUUAAUUGAAUGCAAUAAAAAUGUAAAACUGA
Non-coding RNA from Misgurnus anguillicaudatus (oriental weatherfish), 1591 nucleotides. The record is from RefSeq and is a predicted model, not a curated record. NCBI's taxonomy places the organism in Eukaryota, Metazoa, Chordata, Actinopteri, Cypriniformes, Cobitidae.